AAGAUAUGGAAGGGGCUCACUUCAGUCCAGUCCGAGUCGGUGAAAAAUGACUGAAACUCAGCUGCUGACUCGUUGGCUCGAGAGUUCACCAUUAAGAUAGAUUGAUGUUCGGCACUCACGCCAUGUAAUUAAGGUGGUGUGCUUCUGAUCCAACGAUGCGGGAGCUGCAUUCAGUCGUGACUGUCACGUCUUGGACUGAAGGGGCCUCUUCGUCUCCUACA
This 221-nucleotide microRNA precursor is filed under the name Glycine max (soybean). Its description in RNAcentral is "pre miRNA MIR159". The stretch from base 50 to 177 matches the Rfam family "MIR4414 microRNA precursor family". Lineage: Eukaryota; Viridiplantae; Streptophyta; Magnoliopsida; Fabales; Fabaceae. The record is from RNAcentral.